This 253-nucleotide ribosomal RNA is filed under the name uncultured bacterium. RNAcentral's name for it is "partial 16S ribosomal RNA". It matches the Rfam family "Bacterial small subunit ribosomal RNA", at positions 524 to 776 of the family's 1533-position model. The record is from RNAcentral.
UACGAAGGGGGCUAGCGUUGCUCGGAAUUACUGGGCGUAAAGCGCACGUAGGCGGCUUUCUAAGUCGGGGGUGAAAUCCUGGAGCUCAACUCCGGAACUGCCUUCGAUACUGGAAAGCUCGAGUCCGGGAGAGGUGAGUGGAACUGCGAGUGUAGAGGUGAAAUUCGUAGAUAUUCGCAAGAACACCAGUGGCGAAGGCGGCUCACUGGCCCGGUACUGACGCUGAGGUGCGAAAGCGUGGGGAGCAAACAGG